UACGUAGGGGGCUAGCGUUGUCCGGACUCAUUGGGCGUAAAGCGCGUGUAGGCGGUUCGGUAAGUCCGCUGUGAAAGUCGGGGGCUCAACCCUCGAAUGCCGGUGGAUACUGUCGGACUAGAGUACGGAAGAGGCGAGUGGAAUUCCUGGUGUAGCGGUGAAAUGCGCAGAUAUCAGGAGGAACACCAAUUGCGAAGGCAGCUCGCUGGGACGUUACUGACGCUGAGACGCGAAAGCGUGGGGAGCAAACAGG
This 253-nucleotide ribosomal RNA is filed under the name uncultured bacterium. Its description in RNAcentral is "partial 16S ribosomal RNA". It matches the Rfam family "Bacterial small subunit ribosomal RNA", at positions 524 to 776 of the family's 1533-position model. The record is from RNAcentral.